GGACGGGUGAGUAAUGUCUGGGAAACUGCCUGAUGGAGGGGGAGUAACUACUGGAAACGGUAGCUAAUACCGCAUAACGUCGCAAGACCAAAGAGGGGGACCUUCGGGCCUCUUGCCAUCAGAUGUGCCCAGAUGGGAUUAGCUAGUAGGUGGGGUAACGGCUCACCUAGGCGACGAUCCCUAGCUGGUCUGAGAGGAUGACCAGCCACACUGGAACUGAGACACGGUCCAGACUCCUACGGGAGGCAGCAUG
Molecule: ribosomal RNA, 253 nt
Filed under: uncultured bacterium
Lineage: Bacteria
Description: partial 16S ribosomal RNA
Rfam family: Bacterial small subunit ribosomal RNA
Source: RNAcentral